Molecule: non-coding RNA, 2093 nt
Filed under: Dichanthelium oligosanthes
Lineage: Eukaryota; Viridiplantae; Streptophyta; Magnoliopsida; Poales; Poaceae
Description: Eukaryotic large subunit ribosomal RNA
Rfam family: Eukaryotic large subunit ribosomal RNA (bases 1-1342)
Source: Rfam by way of RNAcentral
AGUCCUUUAAUUGUGCUUUGUCAUUCAAUCACCAAAAUCCACAAGAGGGCCUAGAUGCACUUUCAUCCCUAUCUAGUGACAUAAGUGAUUUGGCUCAGCAGCUCCAGGGGCAGCAGCGCAGGUCAGUCAAGACAAAGAGACAUGGAGGGGGGAGGGGCGCAGCGCUCUCGACCUAUUCUCAAACUUUAAAUAGGUAGGAUGGCACGGCUGGUCCGGUGAGCCAUGCCAUGGUGUCAGGAGCUCUAAGUGGGCCAUUUUUGAUAAGUAGAACUGGCGAUGCGGGAUGAAUUGGAAGUCGGGUUCCGGUCCUGAACUACGCGCUAACCUAGAACCCACAAAGGGUGUUGGUCAAUUAAGACAACAAGACGGUGGUCAUGGAAGUCAAAAUUUGCUAAUGAGUGUGUAACUCCUCACCUAUAGAAUCAACUAGCCCUGAAAAACCCGGGCCGUGAGCCCGGGCAGAGCGGCUAUUGGUGUAGAUCUUGGUGGUAGUAGCAAAUAUUCAAAUGAGAACUUUGAAGGCUGAAGAGGACAAAGGUUCCAUGUGAACGACACUUGCACAUGGGUAAGCCAAUCCUAAGGGAUGGGGUAACCCUAGCAGACAGCGCGAUCAUGCGCAUUGCCUGAAAGGGAAUCGGGUUAAGAUUUCCUGAGCCAGGACGCGGUGAUUGACGGCGACGUUAGGAAGUCAGGAGACGCCGGUGGGGGCCUCAAGAAGGCUUAUCUUUUCUACUUAACGGCCUGCCAACCUUGGAAACGGUUCAACCAGAGGUAGGGUCCAGCGGUCGGAAGAGCACCGCACGUCGAGCGGUGUCUGGUGCGCCCUGACGACCCAUGAAAAUCCGGAGGACCGAGUAUCAUCCACGUCCGGUCGUACUCAUAAUCACAUCAGGUCUCAAAGGUGAACAACCUUUGGCCAAUGGAACAAUGUAGGCAAGGGAAGUCCGCAAAAUGGAUCCGUAACUUUGGCAAAAGGAUUGCUAUGAGGAUUGGGCUCGGGGGCCCGACCCUGAACCCGUCGGCUGCUGGUGGACUGCUUGAGCUGCUCAUGCGGCGAGAGCGGGUCAUCGCGUGCCAGUCGAAGGAUAGAUCGGGAAUGGCUCUCUCGGGGGCCUUCCCCGGGCAUCGAACAACCAACAUAGAACUAGUACGGAUAAGGAGAAUCUGACUGUUUAAUUAAAACAAAGCAUUGCAAAGGUCCCUACAAUGCUGACUGGGUGAAGAGUGGACUGAAGAUAAGUGGAGACAUUAUCAGCCAGAUGGAAGUCACUUAGCUUGGAGCAACUCACUCAAGGGAGACUCUUGAUAUUCACCUACAUCUCCACGGAUCAACGCACUAUGUGCUAAUUGAAGACUUCACACCAGAGGAUCAGUUCAUGGCGAAGCGUGAAGAAGAUGAAGAGACUGAUUCAACAUCAUACCAUCUCAUUGACUUAUGGGAGAUCAAAGAUUUAGAUGAACAACUCAGUGAAGAAAUGGAGGAACAUGAAGACAAUGAAUGUGAAUCAUUUAAAAUGUUGAGAUUGAAAUCCCCAUUAAGAAACCAAGGGAUGAGCUCUUUGAAAAUCCAAACCCAAUGUACAUAUAUCUUUCUCACACAUCUAUUUGUUUUGAGGAGUUCUCUGAUGAUUUAAAUUAAAAUACAAAUAGUAUGAUCCAUGAUUUGAAUUCUACGCCUUGUUUUAAUGAUCAUAUUUAUAGGCUAGAAUUUCUUGAAAAUGAAAGAGGCAAUGAUCUCUAACUUUGAUAAUUUUAAGGGCCAUAAAUAUGUCAGAGGAAAGCUCUUUCCAGACAAAAGCAAAGUAAAUUUAAUCGUAAUGGUGAAAGAGUUGACCAGAACAACUUCACCAUUGAAAAAUUACUGGUCCAUAAGAUGAUCAACCAUCCAGAGGCGGCCACAAACGGUGUAGCUUCAAAUUUACUUAUAUGCCGUGGACAAAAUUUACUUACAUAAAAAAUGAUCAAAACAUUCAUUUGGUUUCCUGUAAGCAAAUUGUAGAUGUUGCGCUUUCCACAACCUUCUGAUGAAUGGCAUCCCAUUUAGCCUGGGAAUUUGUUCCCCUUACAUGCCACACAAGAAUAUUCCAAGAGCG